CCUACGGGUGGCUGCAGUGGGGAAUAUUGCACAAUGGGCGCAAGCCUGAUGCAGCCAUGCCGCGUGUGUGAAGAAGGCCUUCGGGUUGUAAAGCACUUUCAGCGGGGAGGAAGGCGGUGAGGUUAAUAACCUCAUCGAUUGACGUUACCCGCAGAAGAAGCACCGGCUAACUCCGCGCCAGCAGCCGCGGUAAUACGGAGGGUGCAAGCGUUAAUCGGAAUUACUGGGCGUAAAGCGCACGCAGGCGGUCUGUCAAGUCGGAUGUGAAAUCCCCGGGCUCAACCUGGGAACUGCAUUCGAAACUGGCAGGCUAGAGUCUUGUAGAGGGGGGUAGAAGUCCAGGUGUAGCGGUGAAAUGCGUAGAGAUCUGGAGGAAUACCGGUGGCGAAGGCGGCCCCCUGGACAAAGACUGACGCUCAGGUGCGAAAGCGUGGGGAGCAAACAGGAUUAGAUACCCGAGUAGUC
Molecule: ribosomal RNA, 465 nt
Filed under: uncultured Klebsiella sp.
Lineage: Bacteria; Pseudomonadati; Pseudomonadota; Gammaproteobacteria; Enterobacterales; Enterobacteriaceae
Description: bacterial SSU rRNA
Rfam family: Bacterial small subunit ribosomal RNA
Source: RNAcentral